This 463-nucleotide unclassified non-coding RNA is filed under the name Bombus terrestris (buff-tailed bumblebee). RNAcentral's name for it is "misc RNA ENSBTSG00005021836.1". The record is from RNAcentral. Lineage: Eukaryota; Metazoa; Arthropoda; Insecta; Hymenoptera; Apidae.
AUCGGAGAGAACUUUGAUAAUAAAUAACAUUCGACAGGAGGAUAAAAAGCGACGCGAACAAUUACAUGAAAAAUUGUACGACAUUUCUCAUCUGGUCCUUGGGUAAAUAAUAUUUCUGUCAUGCGUCUACGGACGUUGAAUGAAGAAACGGGAAUAUUGGAAGUACAGUAGUUUAGUCACCCCUAUUUUCCACGCAAUUCGGGGAGACCUUUUACGAUUUUAUAUUUCUUCGAUGCAAGGAACAAGUUUUUCAAUAAACCUCUCCAGGUGGACCAUACUUUUGAUGCAAUCAGAGAUACUCUUCCAAGUUAUGAUUCCUAGACUAGUGUACGUUGAAAACCGUUAACAGAUUGGUCGAAUCAGAAAAUAAUUUUAUGAAGCGAAGCGAUGCGUGCAUAUUCCCAAUCUCCGAUUUCCUAGCAUAAAUUUUAUUUUUGCAGAAUAAAAUGGACCAAGAUGUAUG